AGGAUGAACGCUGGCGGUCUGCUUAACACAUGCAAGUCGAACGGGCGUAGCAAUACGUUAGUGGCGGACGGGUGAGUAACGCGUGAGAAUCUACCUUCAGGACGGAGACAACAGUUGGAAACGACUGCUAACCCCCGAUGUACCGAAAGGGCAAAUAUUUAUAGCCUGAAGAAGAGCUCGCGUCCGAUUAGCUAGUUGGAGAGGUAAAAGCUCACCAAGGCGACGAUCGGUAGCUGGUCUGAGAGGACGAUCAGCCACACUGGGACUGAGACACGGCCCAGACUCCUACGGGAGGCAGCAGUGGGGAAUUUUCCGCAAUGGGCGAAAGCCUGACGGAGCAAGACCGCGUGGGGAAGAAGGCUCUUGGGUUGUAAACCCCUUUUCUCUGGGAAGAAAGUUGUGAAAGCAGCCUGACGGUACCAGAGGAUCAGCAUCGGCUAACUCCGUGCCAGCAGCCGC
Molecule: ribosomal RNA, 459 nt
Filed under: uncultured bacterium
Lineage: Bacteria
Description: SSU rRNA
Rfam family: Bacterial small subunit ribosomal RNA
Source: RNAcentral